AUCUUCCGCAAUGGGCGAAAGCCUGACGGAGCAACGCCGCGUGAGUGAUGAAGGGUUUCGGCUCGUAAAACUCUGUUAUUAGGGAAGAACAAAUGUUUAAGUAACUGUGCACAUCUUGACGGUACCUAAUCAGAAAGCCACGGCUAACUACGUGCCAGCAGCCGCGGUAAUACGUAGGUGGCAAGCGUUAUCCGGAAUUAUUGGGCGUACAGCGCGGGUAGGCGGUUGCUUAAGGCUGCUGUGAAAGCCCACGGCUCAACCGUGGAGGGUCAUUGGAAACUGGGAAACUUGAGUGCAGAAGAGGAAAGUGGAAUUCCAUGUGUAGCGGUGAAAUGCGCAGAGAUAUGGAGGAACACCAGUGGCGAAGGCGACUUUCUGGUCUGUAACUGACGCUGAUGUGCGAAGGCGUGGGGAUCAAACA
RNAcentral lists this ribosomal RNA (421 nucleotides) under uncultured bacterium. Its description in RNAcentral is "bacterial SSU rRNA". It matches the Rfam family "Bacterial small subunit ribosomal RNA", at positions 361 to 774 of the family's 1533-position model. The record is from RNAcentral.